GGGCCCGCACAAGCGGUGGAGUAUGUGGUUUAAUUCGAUGCAACGCGAAGAACCUUACCUACUCUUGACAUCCAUAGAACUUUCCAGAGAUGGAUUGGUGCCUUCGGGAACUAUGAGACAGGUGCUGCAUGGCUGUCGUCAGCUCGUGUUGUGAAAUGUUGGGUUAAGUCCCGCAACGAGCGCAACCCUUAUCCUUGUUUGCCAGCACUUCGGGUGGGAACUCCAGGGAGACUGCCGGUGAUAAACCGGAGGAAGGUGGGGACGACGUCAAGUCAUCAUGGCCCUUACGAGUAGGGCUACACACGUGCUACAAUGGCGCAUACAGAGGGCGGCCAACUUGCAAAAGUGAGCGAAUCCCAAAAAGUGCGUCGUAGUCCGGAUUGGAGUCUGCAACUCGACUCCAUGAAGUCGGAAUCGCUAGUAAUCGU
RNAcentral lists this ribosomal RNA (428 nucleotides) under uncultured bacterium. Its description in RNAcentral is "bacterial SSU rRNA". It matches the Rfam family "Bacterial small subunit ribosomal RNA", at positions 917 to 1345 of the family's 1533-position model. The record is from RNAcentral.